UACGAAGGGGGCUAGCGUUGUUCGGAAUCACUGGGCGUAAAGCGCACGUAGGCGGAUUCCUAAGUCGGGGGUGAAAUCCUGAGGCUCAACCUCAGAACUGCCUUCGAUACUGGGGAUCUUGAGUUCGGAAGAGGUUGGUGGAACAGCUAGUGUAGAGGUGAAAUUCGUAGAUAUUAGUUAGAACACCAGUGGCGAAGGCGGCCAACUGGUCCGACACUGACGCUGAGGUGCGAAAGCGUGGGGAG
This 245-nucleotide ribosomal RNA is filed under the name uncultured Labrys sp. RNAcentral describes it as "partial 16S ribosomal RNA". It matches the Rfam family "Bacterial small subunit ribosomal RNA", at positions 524 to 768 of the family's 1533-position model. Lineage: Bacteria; Pseudomonadati; Pseudomonadota; Alphaproteobacteria; Hyphomicrobiales; Xanthobacteraceae. The record is from RNAcentral.